GAGAAGAGAAUGGGCAUGGAGAAGAUGGC
Molecule: non-coding RNA, 29 nt
Filed under: Macaca fascicularis (crab-eating macaque)
Lineage: Eukaryota; Metazoa; Chordata; Mammalia; Primates; Cercopithecidae
Also listed under: 1 other name
Source: RNAcentral